RNAcentral lists this long non-coding RNA (18345 nucleotides) under Arabidopsis thaliana (thale cress). RNAcentral's name for it is "long non-coding RNA (ATHA_LNC000134)". Lineage: Eukaryota; Viridiplantae; Streptophyta; Magnoliopsida; Brassicales; Brassicaceae. The record is from RNAcentral.
CAUCCAGAACUCAAAUCCUUUGAUUCUGAGCUUCAGCAGAAAACCUCAAAUCUGAUAAACUCGUUCACCUCUGAUGCCAAAACUGGGUUGGUGCCACUGCCCCAACACGCAGCAUACAAGGAGUUCACCAAGCACCUAGCUGAAGUAAACCAACAGGUGUCAGACUACAUCAUUGGAUAUGGAGAAGUAGUGUGGGAGAACUCAACUCUGAGAUCUUUGGUCGAAACCUAUUUUGAAAGUGCCAAGAAGACUUUGGACAUUGCCGAGAAUGUAACAGAAUACGUCGAUGAAGCAAAAAGGGGCGAACGUUACAUUGUAGCGGCCGUGGCACAGUUUGAAAAAGACAAAGAAAAUGAUGUUGGCAAAAAAACGAAGAGGUAUGAAAAUACCUUGAGGGAGCUGAAGAAGUUUGAAGCCAUGGGAAAUCCUUUUGAUGGCGAUAAGUUCACGACUCUGUUCAAGUUGAUGCACAAGGAGCAAGAAUCCCUUCUGGAAAGAGUGAGGGAGACUAAGGAAAAGCUUGAUGAGGAACUUAAAAAUAUUGAGAUGGAAAUAAGUAGUCGAAAGAAAUGGAGUAUAAUUUCGAAUGUGCUUUUCAUCGGUGCGUUUGUUGCUGUUGCCGUCGGAUCCAUGGUUCUAGUAUGUACAGGCGUGGGUGCGGGCGUGGGCGUUGCAGGGCUUCUAUCAUUACCACUGAUUGCGAUAGGAUGGGUAGGCGUCCACACUAUUUUAGAGAACAAGAUUCAAGCUCGAGAGAAACAGGAAGAAGCUCUGAAGAAAGCGCACCGUAUAGCAAACGAAAUGGAUAAGGGUAUGGAAACCGACAAAGUAGAUAUGAAUUCCAUAUCUGGAAAAGUCCACGCGCUAAAAAGCAAGAUCACGUCUAUGUUGAAUGCUGUGAAGGAUGCUACUGAGGAUGGAGCAAAUGAGGUGGACACGAAACAAGUAAUGGAAACCCUUACGGGGGACGUGGUGGAAUUAACAGAGGAUAUCAAAGCAGUUGGUGAUGAUGUGGCAAAAUAUAGCAAAAUGAUCGAAGAGACGAGUUAUCACGUUUUGCAAAAGAUCACUGGUUCUGGAAAAUAAACUUUAUCGAUGUUUGAUGGAAUCGAAGCACCAAGGCGCAGAACAUCAAACAGACGCAGAGUCCAAAACCGGAGACAAUUUUGUCUCAUGGUUUUCUUGGUGUCCGUUUAAUUAUUUCAGUUUUUCUUUUAAGUGUUUGAGUUUUCAAAAAUAAGAGACGACGGUCUUCCUCUCGUCGAGGAAGCUAUCUUCUCCACUUUCCAUUAUUUCCUCGUUUGUAGGAGUCACUGACUCCACUUUUUUCUUCUUGUAAUGUUUUUUUUCUCUUCUUGUAAUGUUUCUCACUUUCUCUAUAAAAAAAAAAUGGCAUUCUUAAUUGCCAAAAAAAAUUCUUGUUCUUAUUAUCUUUCAGUUUUCGUACUUACUCUGAUUCCUCAAGCUUUGACAAAAUCAAAUCUAUCAUUUGGUAUCAGAGCAAAUAGUGUUUGGUCCGAAAUUUUGUUUCGUUUUACCCAUUCCACCCAAAAGAAAAUCAAAGAAAUGUGUUGCCACCACCCACCACUCGAAACAAUGGCUAACACAAAAUAUAAACUUGACGAGCUCGAAAAGGGCAUGGGUUUGGUCAUGGACGUUUUCCACAAAAUGCAAACCAGGUUGGGUAACAAACUUUGUUGUAACAUCCCCAAUUCCAUAAUUAGUAAUUGGGCCAUUUUGUUUAGUUAAAAGAAAACAACCCCAAUAAGCCCAAUAUCUUAUUCCUUAAACGACAUAGGUCAUGGUCGUUUGUGUGUAGAGUAUAUAUAUACAUGUAUAUACUUUCUUUCUUCUUUACGAGCCGUCAUAGAGAAACACAAACCUAAUUCGUGUAUGAACAGACCAGCACAUUGAUCUUUGAGUCUUGAAAAGCUAUAUUAGUGUUCUUGAUGUUGAUGUCGUUCGCUCAUACGAAGGAAGAGAUGGCGGCUGCGAAGUUGUUGUUCUGUUAAGUUGUCAUUACGGUUAUGUGUUGCGUUGUCGUCGGACUCGUGAGGAGGAGAAACAAGAGUCUUGAAGCCACCUUGGAUGUGUUGUGGUGGUGUGUGUUAUUCGGAAAGAGAGAGAAAGGGAGCAGAAGAGAGAGAGAAGUGAGGAGAGGAUAGAGAACAAGCUGUUGCGUAGGUGGUGAAAACAGCUAGUGGGCUUGAUUGGUCAUGGCGUAGCUGUGACAGGCUUCUAUGUUGGUGAAGAGCAAAGUUGGAGCAGAUCAGAGAUGGAGAAGAGAAGAAUAAGAAAGAUGAAAAAGGAAAUAAGAAUAGUGUGGAGGAGGCAACUUUGGAGGCUCGUACAAGUAAUAUCUGACAUAGAUAUGGAAUUAUAAAGGUACUGAAUUGUUCAUUAGCAAACCAAGAGUCUACAGCAACUGAAAGAUCUUAAAUCGGAUUUAAAUGGAAAGAGUUAUGGACAUUGCUUCCUGUGCACGAAACAACUGAAACUGUUCAAACCCAGAAACCCUAAAAGGCAGUCCGAGAUGGCUUGUUGACGGUAACGUUUGGAGGUCGUACUGAUGUCCAAUCUGGCUGAAAAUUAGUUGAGCUGUUCGUGGGAAUACAGGCUACAUAUUCAAUGGUGGGAUUCUGUUAUAAACAGUUAGUUUCUGAUUUAUUUUUGCGUUUCUAAAAAUGUUUGAUAUAGAGCAAAUUAUGAUAAGAUCUAUUGUUUGGUUGGUAAAUGAACUUGGAUGAGCUGAAGGUGAGGGUGAUAAUCACGGAAACACAAUGAUUAUUUUCUAAGCAUGUUCUUCAUGAAUUGCUUGUAUAGGUUUGGAAACUAUGUACUUGUUUGUAUGUUCUUUAUUGAUAGUGUGUGACAUUGAACGAUGAUAUGAUGUAAUAUAGGAAGACUUUAUAUAUAACAUGAUGAUAUACUUUGAGUUAAUGUGUUGGGGCUACGGACCUGAGAUUGGUUUUGCGUAUCGUGAUGGGUGAACCUGAGAUUGGUUUCGUACCUGGAUGUGAUUGUACGAACCUGAGAUUUUUUUUGUGCAUGGUAAUGGGCGAGCGUGAGAUUGGUAUUGUGUCUGGUGAUUGGACGAGCUUGAGAUUGGUUUCAUGCCACACUACGCCGAUGAAAUUUCUAUUUAGCGUUAUUGUUGAAUGAAUUUAUGAUUGAAUAUUUUUAAAAACUUAUGUUGUUAUACGUAUGUUUGAGAACGUGGAGUCUCCUUCCAUGCUAUGCAUUGAUUGUUGAGUGUGAUUAGAAUUUCGCCAUUGUGUUCGCUCUUUUUAUCUUUUCCCUUAGCUUGAUAAGCUUUAUGAGAUGUGGUUUUCUUAGUCGAUUUUGGUUUUGAUCUCUUUUGCCUUUUCUACCUUGAUGAGCAAAAAGGAAGUUUUACAUUCUUCUUCUUAUUUCGUACUCGUCCUUAUAUAAGGAUCCAAUUGGGGUUUGCAAUAUUCAGUUUUUGAUCAAUAAAGAAUAAGGGUUUUACCUUUUAUCAAAGUCUACGAACUUCCUUUGCUUUCUUUGCAAGAAACCAAGAGUUCAUAGCAACAAGUCUUUCUCGUAAACCAUUGAUCUACAGAAAGUUCUUGUUCUCUGCAUUAAAAAAUAUGUGUUUUGGCGGGACCAUUUGAAUAACAUGUUGUUUUUCACUGUAAGACGGGAUGGGUGUUACAUUUGUAGCAUGGAAGAGGCAAACGCCAAAAAAUUCUGAAGACUUGAGGAAUCCAACAAUCAAUAGAAAACUCUAUACCCGGCUAACGGACAUGAUGACGCACAUUCGGAAUGGCGCGCUUACUGCUUACAAUUGGGGCGGAGAGAGGAUGCAGCACCGUCGUUCAUCACACCAGCUCACAACUACCAACAUAUCAAGCUCGAUUACCCUCGGUUUGAUGGCGGUGAUCCCACGGAGUGGUUGAGAAAACUUAAACUAAUAUAUCACCUUUCAUUAGACAUCAAGGGAACAACUUGUGAGCUUUUGCAUCGUAUCAUCUCACAGUGGAAGGAAACCCUUGGUGGAAGGGGAAACGUUUAUGCACGAAUUGUGGGUACGAUUUGGGCCAUCAGAAGGUGAGAUUUUUCACGAAGCGUUGUCUAAAUUCGUCAAACAGGGUGCUCACGAUUAUUCGUAUUAACGCAAAAUCUAACCCCAGAUAUGUAAAACAUAAGCCAAGGAGUUUGAGAGAUAAAUGAACAUGGUUGAGAUAGACUUGUUGUGUCUAUGAAUCAGAUAGUCCUUUAUUUUUCUCUUUCUUUUAUCCAAGCUUCUUAAUAUAUAGGGUUGUCGCUUCUUUUAAGUCUGCCUGCCACAUGUUACUGUUUCGUUGAAAUCAUUGGAGCCAUACCAUUUCUCUGUAUAAUCCUCUUGACGGUAUCUCGUUCAAUAUAAAUUAUGGCUUAAUCAAUCAGAGUUUGUAACACCUUGAAUAAGUGAGAAGUGAUGACAAUAAGCUUGUAUUUUAGGAACAAUCAGAAUUAUUCUCUCUCUUUUUUUUUUUUUUGCUAACAACAAAUUUAUUCUCUGUUUUGCAAAUCCAUUUUUAAAAAGUUCUUGCUUCAAAAAAAAGAAGAUAAAUUUACUUUUUUUUUUUUUUUGAUAUACCCUAUUGGCUAAUCUGGUCAGCUUCGGUAGAAACGCACCGAAGUACUACAGAGUGGACUUCUCCCGAUUCGGGUAGAAUUGGACUACCACACUCUCUGGUCCGAGUUUGGAAUGCCUUCCGACUAAUGCCAAGGGAUAAUCAGACCGCCUGCCUUUCUGACUACCAGGUAAACCAAGUACGUCAAUGCCCAACUGACAGACUUUUGAUUACAAACCUUGUUUGGCUUGAUCAAAUAUUUCAUCAUACUACACUAGUUGAGAAUUCUUUUGAGAAUUUGUUGUUCUCAGAGCGGGAGUAUACUUAGUUUGAGAAUUCUUUUUCCGAUAGCAACAAUUAGAAAACUUGUUCUGUUGUUUGUACCGAUUAAUAUUCAAAGAUUAUUACAAUUUUAAAAACUUAAUAGAUAUUGCAUAAUUAUAUAUAGACAUGUUUUCUAUAUACAUCUGUCUAGUGAAUCAUUAUUAUUUUUAUGUGUAAUUUUUUUAUCCAUAACAAGUUUUUGACAUUGUUGCCUAGGACCAUUUAGCAAGCGCCCUUAGGUUUUAGAUUUAAAUUUCGCUCUCUAGCCUCCAAACACAUAGCUUAUGCCCUAGACUUCUAUCAACAUUGGUCACAUAGAUUAUGUUCAAUUGUUAAAUCUGUAGUGAGCUAUGACUUCUUCUCCUAUUCCUCCCCAAACAUGAGCGACCAUAAUGAAGUAUGUAAGUUUUGGUGCAUAUGGAAAAUCCACGAUCGAUUCCAAUUGCUUUGCAAACAAGUUUGAAAGUUGUGAAAAUCUUUAUUGGUAAUUUGGCGAGUAUUAUCGCCAAUAGAUCCUCUGGUAAGGAAUCUAAGAUUCCUAUCUCUCUGUUUCAAUAAGAUUAAUUUUUUGGAUGUUGUAAAUUUUGUACUCUUAUUAGACUUGAAAAUUUAAUAUUUUGGAGAAACAUCUUUUGGCAGUAAGUAAUGAAGAUUAUAGUCGAAUUCACUUACACAAACAAUUUAAAUUCAAAUUUAUAAUUGAUGAUUAUAGUAUUCAUCUUUUUUAGUAACGUAUAAGACUAUCAAUAUAAAAAGUAUGUAUAUUCAGAAGUUUAAAAGUUAUUAAAUAUUUUGGCUACUUGUAUUAUAAAUAUGUUGACAGUGCUAUAAGACAUAACAUCGUUUGAUAAAUAAAAGCUAUUGAUGAAUUCUAAUAAUAAUCUCUUCUAAAAAAUAAUGAAAAACAUAUUUUAAUACAUUAUAUAUAAAUUUACAUAAUUAUAAUUUAUGAUAUUUAAUUAGAUUAUGUAUCUACAUAGAAAUUUAAAAACAAAUUGUUAUUUUAUCUUCUUCAUCUCUUUUAGACACUUCAACAUGCUUUGUUUUAGAUCUCCAAGAUCUUCAUCUUUAAGAACCUUUAAUGAAAAUAUCUUCCCAUCGAAGGCUUCCACCUUAAAAAAACACCACUAAAACCAAUAGAAGCUCGAUCGACCCAACCAUCUUUGAAACUUCACUUGCUAAGAAUUCAAACCAAAUUAAAUAUCGUAUGAAAAUUGUAGAAAAUUUACAAUUUCGUCAUGUUUUUUUGUUGUGGUGGCGUAAUUCUUUGAGCCUCCUUCUUUAAGGUGUUCAGUUUGAGUUUCAUGCUAACCGAGUUUCUAUGUUUAAAGUUCAGAUUUAGUUGUUAAGGUAGCAUAAUAAAUUAGUUGUUGUUUUACAGAAAAAAUAAUAAAUUAAUUGUUUAGCAUACUAAAAGAAAAAGGAAAAAACUGGAAAACAUUCCAGAGAAAAAGCUACCAUAAUUCUUUCAUGGUCGUUAAGUAGCGGAUUUGAAUCUACAAACAGUAUAAAUAUGGAGUAUUUUAAACUAAUUAAAUGAGAUAUUUUUCUUCCAACCAGAAAAAUUAUGAAUUAAAUGUUCAAAUAAAAGAUAGAUAAGAUAUUUUUGGAAAUUAAAUGUUCAAAUAAAUGAUAGAUAAGAUAUUUUGUUCAAAUAAAAGAUAGAUAAGAUAUUUUUUGGAAAUUAAAUGUUCAAAUAAAAGAUAGAUAAGAUAUUUUUUGGAAUCAUGGAAUCACUCACUCUCACAGAAUCACAUGGCAUCCUAAUAAUUUAUUCGAUUUAGAAAUCAUAUUAAUUAAACUAUAAUUUAAUAAUAGUUAGUUGAUCACAUGUUUUCUCUAAUAUUUUAUUAGAUUACGAAUCAAAUUAAAAAAAUUUAUUAUAUAAAGUAUAGUUUUCUAAGUUAGCAACUCACCUGACUGUGACAAGUGUCAAAUCUAUUGAUCUAAGAUUUUGACACAUGUUUCAAAAAACUUUUCCUUUUUAAUAAUUAAAAAAAAAAAGUAAAUAUAUAAUUAUAAGAAAAAUAUAUAUCUAGGCAGAUUUUAAAAUGUAAAAAAAAAAGCUAUUAGGAAAACCAUAAGAGUUUUGGCCAGUAGGAAACGAAAAUUUUGUUUUUAACAAUUAAAAGUUGAAAAUGAUAAUUAUAACAGAAUUAUAAAUAUAAACAGUUCUACAAAUAUAAAAAAAAAUAUUAUAAGAAAACUAUACAUAUAAAAAAAAUUAUAUGUAUAUUUUUCAUAAGACAAAUAGAAAUUAUAAUUUAGUAAGUGUACAAGAAAUAAAAAUUUAAAAUAGAAAAAGAUUAAGAAAAUUAUAUAAUCACUUAUUAUUCAUAUACGAAAAAGGAUUGUAAAUACUCACUUCAAUAUAAACAUAUAGAUUACCUCAUAAUUUCUCGCCAAACAAAUUAAUUUCUUUAGAAACACCAUCAUUGCUUUAACUUCAUUUUAUUUGUAUAACAUUUUCUUUUGUUGGAUCACAAAUUAUUUUUUGGAUAGUAUUAGUAACUAACCUUUGACUCAAAAAUAAUUAUAAAAAAAUACUCAUGAGUCAAAAAAAAUUGAAAUGUAAAAAUUCAAAAUAGCCCUCAUACAAAAGACAAACAUAGAACGCGUAUUGUAAUUUGGAGAAAAUAAAUGAAGUAAAUAAUAAUAACCCAAAAUCUAUUAAAAAAAAAUCAUUAUUGAAAAUUUGACAACGAAAGAGACAACCAAAAAUAUCAUUUAGUAAAAUCAUAUCAUACUAAAAGAAAUAUGAGUAGCAUGUGAUUGUUAUGGAGGUGAUAAUGGUGAUGGUGGAUGGUUACGAAGGUGGUGAUAUGGUGAUUUAAAAAAGAAAUGAAUCAUAUAAAAAUUACAUUCUUUUAUCGUAUGUUGGAAACAUAUCAUGUCGUUUAUAUUUUUUUAGAAAAAUAAUUUGAAUCAAAAUGGUUUUCUAAAAAUAGCAUGUGAUAUUCAGAUUCAAGGAAUAUAUAGUGAUGGAGGCAAAUUAAAAAUUAUGAACGGCGAUGGACACAGACUAGAGUUGUUGUCGGCGAGACUCGGCUGGAUGUUGGAGGAGAUAAAGAAGGCAAAGAAAUAAGAGCAAUUAGAAAAGAGAAGAAAAGGCUUUGAUUAUUUGUUAUUUAUUUUUAAUAUUAAUUAAGAUAUAAUUUGAUCAGAUACACAUAUUAUGUAAAUAUAAAAAUCUAGAAGUUUUUAUUAAGAUGAAGUGUAUAAAAUAAAAAUUCAGUAUAUUAUGAUGAAAUAGAUAGUUAAACUGUAUUGCAAAAUGAAAUGAACUAGAUUUUAACUCGCGGUAUAUCGCGGGACGAUUUAUUUUUUAAAGGUAAUAUAUAUUAAAACUUACAAAUUUUAUUUUCAUAAAAUAUUUAUAUUUUACAGUUUAUAAUUGUUAAUAAGUAACGCUAUACCAUGAAACCAUGAGACAAUUGUUAAAAAACUGAAGUUUUAACCCUUAUUAAAACAACAGAUUAAUAAUAUUUUAAAAUUUUAUAAAUAUUGAUUCAAAUACAUCCACCAUAUAACCCAAUUCCAAAAUAAAACCCGUUCGGUAAUUUCUUUACCCGUCCCGUGAUUUUUUUUUAAGUAAUAAUUUUUAAAAUUUAAGAAUUAUUUAUUAUAUAUAAAAGUUUUUCAAAUUGUAUCAUUCUCUAAUACAUUUAUAUUUUAUAGUUUAAUUUUAUAUAUAGUAACAUUAUACAUACCACAUAACAUUUUUGGUUUUAUAUAACCUUUAUAAAUUAGGAUGAUUUGAUAUGUUUAAUAUUAGUGGUCUUAAAAAAUAAUAAAUUAAAGAUUUAACCCGUAUUGAAACAGUGGAUUAAUUAUAUUUUACUUUUUUAUUAAUGUUGAUUCAAAAACCCGUCCCUCCAAAUCCGUCUUGCCAAAAAACUAUUUAUUUUAUUAAUAUUAAUUUUAUUUAUGAUAUGACUCUUAAUUAUAAUCUAAACAUUUUAGCUAAUAACAUAGGAGUGCACCAUAUUUAUUUAAUAGGGGAAUGUAUCAUAUGACCCGAAUAUAGUAGUUAAAUAUUAGUUAGUUUAAAUUAGUUAAAGAAUACAAAUUGAAAAUGUAUAUUACACUUUAUUCGAAAAUAGUAUCAAAAUUUAUAUAACACAGAGAUUUGAUAAUUUUUUAAUUGUUGAAUACUUUUUUUUUGUGCUAAUUUUUAUGUGAUUAAGAUUUAAUUGAUUUCGUAUGUAAAAUAUUAAAUUGUUUUACGAACUUAUUUGUUUAUAAUUUGGUAACAGAUAGAUAUUUAAAUAUUCGAUAUAUUUUGCUUCAGUUUAGAAAAUCUUUGAUGACCCGUCUUUAGAUCCAAUAAGCCCUAUAAUUAAGAAAUAAAUAUUGUUGUUAAAUGAUUUUGGUAACCUUAAUGACGUAAUUAAAAGAUUUUUUUUUUGAUUAAAUUUUUCUAUUGCCAUUGUCAUGUAAUUAAUUACAAAAAUUAAGGUUACAUUUAAAAUGUACUUCCCAAAUAAUAUAGUAGGAUAGAUUGAAAAUUUGUCUAGAAAAUAAAUACUAAUAGAAAAUAUGUGUGAUUUACUAUUUGAAAUUCAGAUAGCAUUGAUCAAAUAGAAUGUAUAGAAUUAAAAUACAGUUUAUUAUGAUGAAAUAGAUAGUGAAAGUAUAAAACACAAUAGAUUAUCUAAAAUUACAAUUUUUUAAAAACAAAAACUACUCGAUAAAUGUAUGUUAAUCAUGCAUAACUAUUCAAUUAUUUAGGAUUAACAUAUCGAUAUCAAAAUAAGUAGAAAAACACGUGGAUGCGUAUGUUAGUUGAGAUGUUUUGAGGAUAAGGACCAUAGGGUGGACAUGAACUAUAUGUUAAUCAUACAAGUCGAUAUAUAAACUAUUAUACUAUUAAUUCUGGCGACAUUACACAUGCAUAGACAUAAAUGUCAUCCUAGAAAUGACAUUUUUACCUACAAACUUAUAAAUGUCAUUUAUAAAAUAGGCCCUUUAACAAAAAAAAAAAUGUCAUUUAUAAAAUAAAAGCAUGAUAAGUUGUAGGAAUCCAGCAAUAUAUAAUAUGAGAUGAUGAUGGUUCAAAGAACACAUGGCUUCAUGUGAUAUUUCACUUAUAUUAUCAUAAAUAGUUUCAUGAUUAAUAUAUAGUUGCAUGAUAAUCAUACAAUUAAUUAACUAGUGUAGUUUAUUUUACUUUAUAUUCUGAAAAGAAUCAAACAAUGUUAAUAUAAUAAAUCAUUAAGUCACUUAUACAAAAUCACGUCUUCCCUAAUAUUUGAUUCUAUUAUGAAUCAUAUCACUUAAACUAUAGUUUAAUACUAAUAGUUUAGUUAAAUCAUAUGUCUUCUUUCAUAUUUUAUUCGAUUAGGAAUCCAAUUAAAAUAUAGUUAUUAAUAGUUAAUUAGACAGGUUUGGAAAAUUAAAGUUUUAAAUUAUUCGGGCUAGAAAUUUUCAGCAGAAUCAUCUCUUGAUCAAUAAUUUAGUGUUUAUAUUAGUUAGAAAAUUAAAACUUAUUUCUUCAGAUUUGUUUAUAGUUUUGCUUAAUACUUCCAUGUAAAUAUAGGAUCCGUACACUUAAGAAUUUAUUUAUUUAGAAAUAAAGCUCUCAACUUAAAGUAUUUUAAUAAAUUUAAUAAGUAAAAUAGUGUAUGAAAGUAGAGAUAGAUAAGUAGAAAAUAGUAAAUUAUUUGUUUUUAGAUAAAAAUAUAUGUGUCCCUUAUGUAUUCGGGAACCUCAUAUUCAUACAAUAAUUUUUACAUUUAUAGAUGAUUAAAUACAUUGGCUUCGAGAACCAACACCAACAAUUAGCUCCCCUAGUCCUUCGAGCUUACACACCAGUUGAGAGGACAUUAUUUCCUUAAUAACGAAGAAUGCAUAAUAUGAUCUCUAUUCUCAUAAUAUUUUCUGUUUAACUUAAUUCGAAAUCGUUAAUCUAUUGUGUGAUCUCAGAACUUUGUGAAAUUUUAAUGUAUUAAAAAAAUAUAUUUUAAUAUAUUAUAUAUAAAUUUACAUAAUUAUAAUUUAUGAUAUUUAAUGAGAUUAUAUAUCUACAUAGAAAUUUAAAAACAAAUUGUUAUUUUAUCUUCUUCGUCUCUUUUAGACACUUCAACAUGCUUUGUUUCAGAUCUCCAAGAUCUUCAUAUUUAAAAAAUGACGACAUUACUUUCGUAAGGAAGUAGGUUUUAGAAUUUCGGACUCCUUUCGGUUUAUUAUUCAUUUUGUCGGUCCUAAAGAGCGAAUACUAUGUUUACGCGAUCCUGUUUUGGUUGCUUUUUUAUUUGUAUCAUGCCCCAUUUCAUUCUCUGAGACUAUUUCCAAAAGUAACUAGCUCAUCAUCCUUACCGAGAUCAGACUCAAUGGAUUCACCUUCUUCUCGAGGGUCUUGAAUGGAAAGGGACAUGUGGUCAUCAAUCAAAGUCUCCUCCUCAUCCUUAUUGCUUAAUAGACUGAAAUCAGUUGAUGAGACUACAUCAGUGACUUGCUUCUCUGGUUUAUUCUUUCAUGUGGGAGAUCAAUGUGGAUUUUUACGAGUGACCGCAGUUUACUGGUUCUUUUCCACUUUCCUCUCCCCCCCGGUCUACUAUUUCACCCUCCUCUGUCUUGUCUCUGUUGUGGACAAGAACUCAUGAUACGACCUUGAAUUGGUCUGAAUUUAUCUUGACUGUCUCUUGCGGUAAAACUGAAGGUGAGAACUCGGUUAGUAAAAUGUUUUGUGAGCCUUCCAGUUCAAGGAUAAAGCCUCUUGCCAUUUUCUCUACUGUAGCUUUGUCAACAACAUUGGCCUUGUCUCCACACCUGUAAAAGACUGCAUUGUGGAGGAAGUCAAGGGUAGCUAACCAGAACCGUCACGGUCUAGCCUGAAUCAUCAAAAUUAAUCUAGUUCACCAAUGGUUUUUAUAGGUUGACUUCUACCAGCACUCUCGCCACAUCCAAACGAAUACACCACUCUGUAUUCGGGUACAGUUUAACAAAAUUGCCUUUAGUACUCGAUAGGAAUCUAAGACCCUGGUGCAAAAAGAGAUGCGGCGGAACGUCUUUGAGGUCCACCCACAAAGGCAUGGCCGACUGAUCUGAGGGAUAUUGUGCAGUUGCAGGAUUCCAAAUACUAAUGACUAUUGGGAUGUUUGCAAUGUGCCAAUAGCGACGCUUCAAAACAUGGUUUCAGAUCUGAUCGCUCUCUAUGAAAGCACAAUUGUUGUUUUGUUUAAGAACUAAACAUCAAUCCUUGAGGAUUUUUCAGUGACAAUCUGUAACAUCCCCGAUCCGAACUAGGAUCGAGGGGAAGGGCUGGGACGAGACUUAUAGAGAGUCGGGCGAGAAAACUCGUCCCAAGUCCCGGAGAAGGGCGGCCAAAUCGUGUGAACAUGAAUGGCCAAGAGCCCGAGGGAAAGAAGUGAGAAUAAAUAGCUCGGAAAGCUAAGUGGGAAGCUGGAGCAGCUCAAGGGAAGCUCGGGGAAGCUCAGCCACCUCAAAGGGAAGCUCGGCCAGCUCCACUAGCUCGACUUAGCUGGAAGGGGAGUGAGCCGGUUACUCGGACGGUUGUCGGACGGUUGUCGAACGGUUUCCCCGGCAGUUACCUUGAGCGGUUACCCGGCGGUUACCGGCGAUUACCAAGGCGGUUCCCGGGCCAUAAGGACGCGCCACGUGUGUGGUUGGGAAGGAAGCGCCCUGAAGGAUCCGAAAGGACCUAGAGGCGCCCGUUCGCAAGGGCGGUUAUUCGCCCCUUCCUUAUAAAUAACUCGCCCUUCAGCCAAGGAAAAACACAAGUCCAUAUACCGAAACUCUCACCAAAACUCAGAAAAGAAACGUGAUCUUUCUAAGGGUGCGAACGAACGGAACAAGAUGACCGAGAUUUAGAUCAUGGGCACUCCCGGCACCACUGGGCCGACGGAGGCCGAGGAAGCGAAUGGUCGAACGACCAAGGAUAUGACCAAGUUCGUGGGAAGGAUAUGGCUUAGCGGCAAGGAUGGUUGUCCGGGCAAGUGGGUGGUGUUUAAGUUAAAGUAUUGGAUCGAAUGAUUAUAAUAACCUAUAGUGCAAACACUCAUGUCGUUCGAAACCUUAUAUGAAUAAAGUUGGCUUGUUUCUUUAUGUGAAUUCGUCUCUUUUUUUACUUAUGAAUCUCAGAAUUUCCGCUGCCAAUUACACUUAGAGCGAAUUCGGAUAAGACCUGAGGACACUUGAGUUGUCCUCGGAUGGGAACAACCUCACCGGGCGGACAGCCCGGGAUGGGACGUUUCACAAUCCAAAUGUGAUUCAUAGUCAAGUGAAUAAUUCCAACGUGCAGGGCAUCACCCAUAAAAACACCGACAAUAAAACACUUCCACAACGACACUGAUGCACCCACUACUUUUCCUGAAAUUGUGACUUUCGCGACUCUAUUUUCAACAACAAAGUCUAAGAUUUCCUUUAGCCAAAAAGACCCAUGGGUCUCUUAUGGGAGGAGAGUCUGCUUGCGACGACUGAGUUGGAGAGGGAAGAGAAGGAGAAGACGCCAUCGGCAGCGCCGGAGACUCCAUCGGAGGGGGAAAAUCGCUACCUUACAAGGGAUGCUAGACGAUGGGAGCGACUAGGGUUUAUGCUUCAAAAAACUUAAACUUUCAUAUUUCCUUUGGGAUAAUUUUAAAACCUUCUAUCCGAAAUAGAGUGAUAUAGAUGCCGUGAUUUCUUCAAGAACUCCCUAACUUCUUCUUGGUAAACUGAACAAGUAGUCAGAGUAUUUGUAAAUUUAAAAGUUUUCAUGAUUGGUACGACACUGCUGAACUCAAGGAAGCAUUAGUAAGUCUCCUGAAAAGGAACAAAUCAUCCUUUGCCUGGUCAGCAGAAGACAUGUCUAGCAUCUGCCCAAGUAUAAUUUGUCACGAGUUAAAUGUCAACUUAAGUUUCAAGCAUGUAAAGCAAAAACGAAGAAAGCUCGGGACAGAAAGGGCACAAGCAGUAAAUGACGAAGUGGAUAAACUUCUGAAGAUAGGUUCAAUAAGAGAAGUCCAGUAUCCGUAGUGGGUGGCCAAUCUGGUUGUCAUCAAGAAGAAAAAUGGAUAGGAUAGGGUGUUUAUCGAUUUCACAGAUCUAAAAAAAGCGUGCCUAAAGGAUGCUUUCCGUUUUCGCAUAUUAACCGACCAAGGUAUUUAUUAUUAUAAGGUAACGCCUUUCGGCUUAAAGAAUGCAGAAGUAACUUAUCAACGCUUGGUGAAAAAAUGUUCCACACACACCUCAAAAAGACAAUGGAGGUGUACAUGACAUAAUGUUAGUCAAAUCAUUAAAAGUUUAUUUGGGAUGAGAAGUAUGAAGUAGCAUUUGGGCAGCUAAAAGCUAAAAGCAUACCUAAGCACCUCGCCAGUUUUAUCAAAACUCAAAAGUUGAAUUCAAAAGCAUAUUUGGGUAGAACUCUGCGAGUACGAUAUUGAAUUCAAAAGUUGGGUGAAUAUGAAGGUUCAAGUCUUAGCUGAUUUCUUGACAGAGUUACCAAUGCAUAGCUCGAGCGAAUGAUGCGUGUUCUAUUUCGCCUUAGGCUUUUACCUGAAAGACUACAUGACUACUGUAAGUGCAUAACAAAUCCUAACUACGGAGGUGGGAUUCGAUCCCUGAUUAAUAAGGAUAGUACAUCCACAUUUAACCACCAGACUAAGCUAAUUCAUUUGUAACGAAUAAAAAAUUGAUUGUAUAUAUAUUCUUAAACACUAUGGGUUAAAUUUUAACUUCAGUUAGACCAUCCGUUAAAGAUAUCUGCUUUUGUCAAAAUUUAAAGAAACGAAAGUUUUUAAAGGACAUAAAAAUUAACUCAAGUAUUGUUCGGAAAACUUUAAUAAUGCAGAUAUUAGACGGAUAAAUUAAAAAUAGAUGACGAUUAUUCCGUGUUUUUUCUCCCAGAAAAUAUAAUACAUUUAAACGUGUUUAAACGUGUUAGUAUUAGUGUCAUUUAAGUGUGUUUUACCCGUUUUAUAUUGUUCUAGCAUACUGUGGAUUCUAGCUUUUGGCAUAUAAAAUUUUGGAACUCCCUAUCCUUCAAGUCUCAUAUUAGUAUCAAAUUUUCAAUGACAUAAUUUUCUUAUAACUUGGAACCUAAAUUUGGGAUAUCACACAAUAUACAUACUGUCUUUUUGUUUUUUUUUGUUUUUCUUUUUGCUUUCGAAAAACCACACAAUAUAUUUAAACGACUGUAACAUUUUAUAUAAAUAUAAACACAUAUAAACAAUUAAAUAGUCAUUUCUACGUUAAGGUAUUUCAUCUUUUUACAGCCGUCGUCUACAUAUGGUUGUGGUAUAGAGCGGUUGAGUCCAUUUCUUGUUGUUUGAUAGCUAAAGAAAGCUAUUGUCUACUGUCUUGUGUGCUUGUCGUUAAUUCGUCUGCAACUUCAUGCUAAAUUAGGUACAACUUAUACAAUAUUUUAAUUAUUUAAUAUUAUAUACCACGUGUUGAGUAAAAUAUUUUCUGGUCGAAAAUUCGAGAAAUCUUAUCUGGUCCCAAUCCAAUUUAUACCGACGUGAAAUCUCAACACGUACAUAACAUUUUGAUAACAAGAUCACUGGUAUAUCAUCAUAAGAAGAUCCUUCACAAUAAAUAUUUUUGGCGAAAAAGAAUUUUUUUUUUCCUAUGAUAAAGAACUCGUUACACCAAACAUAAAAAGCCAAAACCAAAAGAAUGUUGGUACUCAACAUACAAAUAUACCGAACUCACAUUUUUGGUGUGUAGAUAAAUAAGUCUAACAACCUCCAUUAGGUAUUCCGAUAUUUUGCUUAAAAAUUAUUAGAAGAAGACCCACGCUAUGCAUGCUAAUAAUUUAAAUAUACUUUCGCGUAAAAAACACUAAAUUAAUGUAACUUAAAAACUUAUUAGAACAUGUAUUUUAAAAUAAAAUGAUGUAAAAGAGAUAAUAGUAAGAAAUUUUGUUAACUGAAAAAUCCUAAUUUGUUUGAUUUUUUUAUUUAUAUAUUUAGUAGUUAAGUUAAAAUUUAUUGGUUUGUUAUUAUUUUUUGGUAAACUGAUAAUAUAUGCCAUUACAAUUUUAAAAUAUAUUUUUGGCAACCAAAAAGUAUUAGUAUUUAUUUGCAUUCAUAUAUACUAAAUAAAACAGAAACAUAUAUAUUUUACUCCCAUCCCACAUAAACUAAUUUAGGUAAAUUAAUUUUUAAAAUUUAUAAAUUUUCGAAGUAGGUAUUUAAAAUGUAGCAAGUUAAACAUCAUUAGGAGAUCAUUUAUAUAAUUUAUGAUCCAUUAAUCACAAAAUCAUUGAUUAAUAUUAGGAUGGUAAAUAUUUAUUUUAAAGUGAAAAGAAAACAAAUAAGACAAUAUUACGCAUAUCAAAAAAAAAAAUUAUUAGAUCAUAUUAUGUAUGUGAACUGUCGACUUUAAAAUGUCUUUUACGAUCAUUUUAAAGUUGACAGUUAACAUACAUAAUAUGAUCUAGUAUUUAAUAUAUAUAUAUAUAAUAUUUAUUAAAAAUUGCUACUAUAAACAUUACUAAAAUACUAGGUAAUCACCCACGUUACCGUGGAGAUUUUGUUUGGUUUCAUGUUUUGUUUGAUUUAAUAUCAUGUUUUAAUAAAUAUAAUGUUUAGCAGCAAAACUAAACAAGUUAAGCAAAACGACAAAUUUGGAGUCAGACUAUACCUUCAGUGUCGACCAACACUAGGAAAGUGUCGAUCAACACCAUUCACAACCCAGCAAGUCUUGACGGCUUAAAGAUUAGAACAUCCUAGAAUUGCUCGAGAAGGCUUUCCUAUUUACAUUAUUAGUCCUUGUAUGUUUUAAGACAUAAAUAUUCUUUCAGGUCAUUGUUUAGACCUAUUAAGUUAUCUUCUCUUUUAACUUUUGCUCUGCAACUCUUUGAGAUUUUUAGAGACUUCUUCAGAGAUUUCAAAACCUUUAGAGAGAAAAAUCUUUUUUAAACUCUAUUCUCUUUUUUAUUUCUUUAUGCAAUAUUAUUCAAACAUGUUUUCAGUUACUCUGAUCUGUCUGAGUAAUCUCCUUGUUCGGUAUAGAUGAAUUAAUAAAUCAAUAACCUGUUAUGAUUUUUUUAGAGUUCUUCAUCUUUGAUUGUUCUUAUUGUUAGUUCUAGAAUAGCUAACUAGAACUUGAUCUUACGUUAAUAGGUACGAUCCGAGAGGACGCUUAUUACUAGAACUAUCUUAGGUGGGCAUAAGUAACUAGAUACGGAUAUGUCUGGUCUAUAUAAUUAUGUGAGCAUAUCAAACCAGAGUAUAUUGCUUGCUUAGUUGUAGGGGUUUGCAACGAGAGUUUGAUUCAAUACUAUUACGCAUAAUAGUCAACGCAGCGAGAGUUGGUUGGUUAUAGCAUAGUGAUUUGAGUUUUAGAACGGUUCAGUAAUAAUCCUAAUUAACUGUUAGAUCUACUAUUAAUCUAUUUCCCAAGAAUAUCCCUAAACCCGACUCUUUCAUCCAUCAGACAACAAUUUAAAUUACUUUUUCUGUUUUUUCAUAUCUAGAAGACAACAUCAAAACUUUUUGAUGCAAUAAAAUAUUAGAAAUAAAUUCAAACAAGAAUAAAUGCGAAUUUAAGCCAAAAAAAAAAUACUAGGAUUAUAUUUCACCAAAGUUUCUUACAUAUAAUAUAUACAAUUAUAAAUAUCAAAUAAAUAUAUAAUUGAUAUAUUCAUACAAAUAAUUAAUUUAUGAUAUUGAUCAUUGAUGGGAUUAAACGAUUAAUAGGAUUUUCAAAAAAUAUAUUAUCGUAUUAUAUUAUUGACUUGUGUUAUGUUUUACGCAAGUUUCAACUUGAAACGAUAUAAUUUAUUAUUUUGUAGAGGUAUUACUGUAUACAACUUAUAAAGUUGAUUUUAGGAAUAUAUAUGUAUAUUUAUUUAUUUAAUUGAGGUUAUAGUUGUAACUUAGCCAACACAGGUUUCUCCUAUGUUCUUCUAUAAAUACUUGUAGAUCACUAACCUAACUAAUCAUUCAAACUUCAACUCUCGCUAAUACUUGAAAGCUCAAAAUAUCCUCUUGUAUUCUGAUCAAAUUUCUGGUAAUUUUCUCUCUUUUAAUCUCUAACUCAUUUUGAUUCUUAUAUAUAUGUUCAUAUUUCUGAUUUUUAGCCAAUUGUCGGUAUUUUCUAUUUAUUAUCAUAAUUUUCUUUUUCUUCGUGAAUUUUUUACAAGUAAAUGUAUAUUUUUUCUCUGUUCUGAAUAUUAUAUAAGUGACUAAUCAAAAAAUUUAGAAAAGAUUGUUUCGAAAUAUCUUAUUUGGGAAGCUCGGUGUAUCCAAAACUCUGUCCUAAAUCUCUCUACAUUUUUUUGAUUUUUUUUUCGUUUUAGUAAUAUCAUCGAUGGUGCUAUCCAAAGAGAAUAUGUUGAAAUACUCGGCACACCUUCGUGCUUACAAUUCCGCAUGUGGAGACCAUCCAGAACUCAAAUCCUUUGAUUCUGAGCUUCAGCAGAAAACCUCAAAUCUGAUAAACUCGUUCACCUCUGAUGCCAAAACUGGGUUGGUGCCACUGCCCCAACACGCAG